UGGCUCAGAACGAACGCUGGCGGCGCGUUUAAGCAUGCAAGUCGAGCGGCAAGGGCCUUCGGGCCCCUAGAGCGGCGGACGGGUGAGUAACACGUGGACAAUCUGCCCCCCGGCCCGGGAUAGCCCAGGGAAACCUGGAUUAAUACCGGAUGAGACGGGACCCGCGAUGGCGGGAUCCGGGAAAGGCGCUGCGGCGCCGCCGGGGGAUGAGUCUGCGUCCCAUUAGCUAGUUGGUGGGGUAGAGGCCUACCAAGGCGAUGAUGCGUAGCCGGACUGAGAGGUCGAACGGCCACAUUGGGACUGAGACACGGCCCAAACUCCUACGGGAGGCAGCAGUAGGGAAUUUUCGGCAAUGGGGGAAACCCUGACCGGGCAACGCCGCGUGAAUGAAGACGUUAAUUUCGGUAUGUAAAGUUCUUUUAUUAAGGAAGAAUAUCACGGAUAGGAAAUGAUCUCGUGAGUGACGGUACUUAAUGAAUAAGCCCCGGCUAACUAUGUGCCAGCAGCAGC
RNAcentral lists this ribosomal RNA (510 nucleotides) under uncultured bacterium. Its description in RNAcentral is "bacterial SSU rRNA". It matches the Rfam family "Bacterial small subunit ribosomal RNA", at positions 20 to 518 of the family's 1533-position model. The record is from RNAcentral.